AGGGGGUUUUGAUCCUGGCUCAGGAUCAACGCUGGCGGCGUGCCUAACACAUGCAAGUCGAGCGCGAAAGUGGACUUCGGUCCACGAGUAGAGCGGCGAACGGGUGAGUAACGCGUGGGUGAUCUACCCUCGAGUGGGGAAUAACACCGGGAAACUGGUGCUAAUACCGCAUGACACCUUCGGUUCGUUCCGAAGGUCAAAGCCGGGGACCGUAAGGCCUGGCGCUUGAGGAGGAGCCCGCGUCCGAUUAGCUUGUUGGCGGGGUAAUGGCCCACCAAGGCUUCUAUCGGUAGCCGGCCUGAGAGGGCGGACGGCCACACUGGGACUGAGACACGGCCCAGACUCCUACGGGAGGCAGCAGUGGGGAAUUUUCCGCAAUGGGGGAAACCCUGACGGAGCAACGCCGCGUGGAGGAUGAAGGCCCUCGGGUCGUAAACUCCUGUCGAUCGGGAAGAAUGCGUCCGACUUAAUACGUCGGUUCGUUGACUGUACCGGUGGAGGAAGCCACGGCUAACUCUGUGCCAGCAGCCGCGGUAAGACAGAGGUGGCAAGCGUUGUUCGGAAUUACUGGGCGUAAAGGGCGCGCAGGCGGUUCGUCAAGUCCCGUGUGAAAUCCCCCGGCUCAACUGGGGAACUGCGCGGGAAACUAACGGGCUUGAGUUCGGGAGAGGAAAGCGGAAUUCCGGGUGUAGCGGUGAAAUGCGCAGAUAUCCGGAGGAACACCAGUNGGCGAAGGCGGCUUUCUGGACCGACACUGACGCUGAGGCGCGAAAGCUAGGGGAGCGAACGGG
RNAcentral lists this ribosomal RNA (791 nucleotides) under uncultured Acidobacterium sp. RNAcentral describes it as "bacterial SSU rRNA". It matches the Rfam family "Bacterial small subunit ribosomal RNA", at positions 1 to 776 of the family's 1533-position model. The record is from RNAcentral. Lineage: Bacteria; Pseudomonadati; Acidobacteriota; Terriglobia; Terriglobales; Acidobacteriaceae.